GGAAAAGAAACUAACCAGGAUUCCCCCAGUAACGGCGAGUGAAGCGGGAAGAGCUCACGUUGUAAAUCUGGCCUUCGGCCCGAAUUGUAGUCUGGAGAGGCGAGGCCAGCCGUCGGCGGGGGCGAAGUCUCUUGGAAAAGAGCAUCAAGGAGGGUGACAAUCCCGUUCUUGCCCCCUGAUUUCGGCGCGCGUACGGUCCGUUUUCUACGAGUCGAGUUGCUUGGGAUUGCAGCUCAAAGCGGGUGGUAAAUUCCAUCUAAAGCUAAACACGGGUGGGAGACCGAUAGCGAACAAGUACCGUGAGGGAAAGAUGCAAAGAACUUUGAAAAGAGAGUUAAAGAGUGCCUGAAAUUGCUGAAAGGGAAGCGAAGGAAACCAGUGUCUGUCAGAUCCGCUUCCCCUCCGCCCUUCGGGGCGUUGGCUUGCGUUUUUGUCGUGGCCAGGGCCGGGUAGUGUUGCGGGAGUCUGCGCCUCGGAAGGUGGCCUAUCCUCGGAUGGUGAAUACCGUGGCGUUUCGUCGCGACGCUGGCCGGUUCUGACGAAAUGGUUUUCUUUAC
This 557-nucleotide ribosomal RNA is filed under the name Haplospora globosa. RNAcentral describes it as "LSU rRNA". It matches the Rfam family "Eukaryotic large subunit ribosomal RNA", at positions 55 to 647 of the family's 3401-position model. The record is from RNAcentral. Lineage: Eukaryota; Phaeophyceae; Tilopteridales; Tilopteridaceae.